UACGUAGGGUGCAAGCGUUGUCCGGAAUUAUUGGGCGUAAAGAGCUCGUAGGCGGUCUGUCGCGUCUGCUGUGAAAACCUGGGGCUUAACCCCGGGCCUGCAGUGGGUACGGGCAGACUAGAGUGCGGUAGGGGAGACUGGAAUUCCUGGUGUAGCGGUGAAAUGCGCAGAUAUCAGGAGGAACACCGGUGGCGAAGGCGGGCCUCUGGGCCGUAACUGACGCUGAGGAGCGAAAGCAUGGGGAGCGAACAGG
This 253-nucleotide ribosomal RNA is filed under the name uncultured bacterium. RNAcentral's name for it is "partial 16S ribosomal RNA". It matches the Rfam family "Bacterial small subunit ribosomal RNA", at positions 524 to 776 of the family's 1533-position model. The record is from RNAcentral.